RNAcentral lists this ribosomal RNA (463 nucleotides) under uncultured bacterium. RNAcentral describes it as "partial 16S ribosomal RNA". It matches the Rfam family "Bacterial small subunit ribosomal RNA", at positions 28 to 507 of the family's 1533-position model. The record is from RNAcentral.
GACGAACGCUGGCGGCGUGCUUAACACAUGCAAGUCGAGCGGAAAGGCCACUUCGGUGGUACUCGAGCGGCGAACGGGUGCGUAACACGUGAGUAAUCUGCCCCUCACUUUGGGAUAGCCACCGGAAACGGUGAUUAAUACCGGUUAUGACCAUAUGUCGCAUGGCGUGUGGUGGAAAGUUUUUCGGUGAGGGAUGUGCUCGCGGCCUAUCAGCUUGAUGGUGAGGUAAUGGCUCACCAUGGCUUCGACGGGUAGCCGGCCUGAGAGGGUGACCGGUCACACUGGGACUGAGACACGGCCCAGACUCCUACGGGAGGCAGCAGUGGGGAAUAUUGGACAAUGGGCGGAAGCCUGAUCCAGCAACGCCGCGUGAGGGAUGACGGCCUUCGGGUUGUAAACCUCUUUCAGUACCGACGAAGCGCAAGUGACGGUAGGUACAGAAGAAGCACCGGCCAACUACGUG